Molecule: ribosomal RNA, 253 nt
Filed under: uncultured bacterium
Lineage: Bacteria
Description: partial 16S ribosomal RNA
Rfam family: Bacterial small subunit ribosomal RNA
Source: RNAcentral
UACGGGGGGAGCAAGCGUUGUUCGGAUUCACUGGGCGUAAAGCGUGCGCAGGCGGCGCGUUAAGACAGGUGUGAAAGCCCCGAGCUUAACUUGGGAAUUGCGCUUGUGACUGGCGUGCUGGAGUGUGGCAGAGGGAGGUGGAAUUCCACGUGUAGCAGUGAAAUGCGCAGAUAUCAGGAGGAACACCGGUGGCGAAGGCGGGUCUCUGGGCCGAUACUGACGCUGAGGAGCGAAAGCGUGGGGAGCGAACAGG